GCUGAUAAUGGAACUCUCUUGAAAGGGUCUAUAUUGUGUCUGGGGACAUCUGCUGGGGCACCCACCCACUGACUGUCUAGGCUUCUCACAGGGGCAAGUGGGCUUCCUUCACCCCUGGCUACCCCGACUGCCUUUACUCACCCUCCUGACCUCCCAGCUCCUCACAGCCUAAGGGCUUCUUAUGGAUGGCCUUGGCUGGGCGGGGCCCGUUGAUGUCUGGGCAACGUACAUGGGUGGAGUUGGUCAGCGGGCAUGACCACAGCAGACUGGAUAGGCGGUGCGGAAGGAGGAGCUUAAUUACAUCUUGCAUGAACUUCCUGCAGACAGGGCGGAUCUCUUUGCUGAGGGUGGCGCUGAACAUCAUGACUUGCUUCUCGUGGGGAGUCAUGCG
Molecule: long non-coding RNA, 391 nt
Organism: Alosa sapidissima (American shad)
Lineage: Eukaryota; Metazoa; Chordata; Actinopteri; Clupeiformes; Clupeidae
Exons: 2
Source: RefSeq, a predicted model, not a curated record